UGACGGCGGUGACGAGCCGGCGGGGAUCGUCGUCGAGCUCGACGACGAGCGUCUUGAAGGCGCGGCCCGGUUCGACGCCGAGCGCCCUCGCCC
RNAcentral lists this transfer RNA (93 nucleotides) under Propionibacterium ruminifibrarum. Its description in RNAcentral is "Propionibacterium sp. JV5 tRNA-Glu(ctc)". The record is from RNAcentral. Lineage: Bacteria; Bacillati; Actinomycetota; Actinomycetes; Propionibacteriales; Propionibacteriaceae.